CCUACGGGGAGCAGCAGUGGGGAAUAUUGCACAAUGGGCGAAAGCCUGAUGCAGCAACGCCGCGUGAAGGAAGAAGGGUUUCGGCUCGUAAACUUCUAUCAACAGGGACGAAAAAAAUGACGGUACCUGAAUAAGAAGCCCCGGCGAACUACGCGCCAGCAGCCGCGGUAAGACGUAGGGGGCAAGCGUUAUACGGAGUUACUGGGGGGAAAGGGUGAGUAGGCGGCAUGGUAAGACAGAUGUGAAAGCCUUGGGCUUAACCCGAGGAGUGCAUUUGAAACUAUGAAGCUAGGGUGCAGGAGAGGAAAGCGGAAUUCCUAGUGGAGCGGUGAAAUGCGUAGAGAUUAGGAAGAACACCAGUGGCGAAGGCGGCUUUCUGGACUGAAACUGACGUGGAGGCACGAAAGCGUGGGGAGCGAACAGGAUUAGAUACCCGAGUAGUC
Molecule: ribosomal RNA, 443 nt
Filed under: uncultured bacterium
Lineage: Bacteria
Description: partial 16S ribosomal RNA
Rfam family: Bacterial small subunit ribosomal RNA
Source: RNAcentral